RNAcentral lists this ribosomal RNA (1372 nucleotides) under uncultured bacterium. Its description in RNAcentral is "bacterial SSU rRNA". It matches the Rfam family "Bacterial small subunit ribosomal RNA", at positions 28 to 1381 of the family's 1533-position model. The record is from RNAcentral.
GAUGAACGCUGGCGGCGUGCCUAAUACAUGCAAGUCGAGCGAACGGACGAGAAGCUUGCUUCUCUGAUGUUAGCGGCGGACGGGUGAGUAACACGUGGAUAACCUACCUAUAAGACUGGGAUAACUUCGGGAAACCGGAGCUAAUACCGGAUAAUAUUUUGAACCGCAUGGUUCAAAAGUGAAAGACGGUCUUGCUGUCACUUAUAGAUGGAUCCGCGCUGCAUUAGCUAGUUGGUAAGGUAACGGCUUACCAAGGCAACGAUGCAUAGCCGACCUGAGAGGGUGAUCGGCCACACUGGAACUGAGACACGGUCCAGACUCCUACGGGAGGCAGCAGUAGGGAAUCUUCCGCAAUGGGCGAAAGCCUGACGGAGCAACGCCGCGUGAGUGAUGAAGGUCUUCGGAUCGUAAAACUCUGUUAUUAGGGAAGAACAUAUGUGUAAGUAACUGUGCACAUCUUGACGGUACCUAAUCAGAAAGCCACGGCUAACUACGUGCCAGCAGCCGCGGUAAUACGUAGGUGGCAAGCGUUAUCCGGAAUUAUUGGGCGUAAAGCGCGCGUAGGCGGUUUUUUAAGUCUGAUGUGAAAGCCCACGGCUCAACCGUGGAGGGUCAUUGGAAACUGGAAAACUUGAGUGCAGAAGAGGAAAGUGGAAUUCCAUGUGUAGCGGUGAAAUGCGCAGAGAUAUGGAGGAACACCAGUGGCGAAGGCGACUUUCUGGUCUGUAACUGACGCUGAUGUGCGAAAGCGUGGGGAUCAAACAGGAUUAGAUACCCUGGUAGUCCACGCCGUAAACGAUGAGUGCUAAGUGUUAGGGGGUUUCCGCCCCUUAGUGCUGCAGCUAACGCAUUAAGCACUCCGCCUGGGGAGUACGACCGCAAGGUUGAAACUCAAAGGAAUUGACGGGGACCCGCACAAGCGGUGGAGCAUGUGGUUUAAUUCGAAGCAACGCGAAGAACCUUACCAAAUCUUGACAUCCUUUGACAACUCUAGAGAUAGAGCUUCCCCCUUCGGGGGACAAAGUGACAGGUGGUGCAUGGUUGUCGUCAGCUCGUGUCGUGAGAUGUUGGGUUAAGUCCCGCAACGAGCGCAACCCUUAAGCUUAGUUGCCAUCAUUAAGUUGGGCACUCUAAGUUGACUGCCGGUGACAAACCGGAGGAAGGUGGGGAUGACGUCAAAUCAUCAUGCCCCUUAUGAUUUGGGCUACACACGUGCUACAAUGGACAAUACAAAGGGCAGCGAAACCGCGAGGUCAAGCAAAUCCCAUAAAGUUGUUCUCAGUUCGGAUUGUAGUCUGCAGCUCGACUACAUGAAGCUGGAAUCGCUAGUAAUCGUAGAUCAGCAUGCUACGGUGAAUACGUUCCCGGGUCU